RNAcentral lists this ribosomal RNA (398 nucleotides) under Promanota malaisei. Its description in RNAcentral is "partial 12S ribosomal RNA". The record is from RNAcentral. Lineage: Eukaryota; Metazoa; Arthropoda; Insecta; Diptera; Mycetophilidae.
UCUGGGAUUAGAUACCCUGUUAUAAAAAAGUAAAUAUAAAUUUAAUAAAAUAGUAUUAGUUAUAUUCUUGAAAUUUAAAAAAUUUGGCGGUAUUUUAUUCUAAUUAGAGGAACUUGUUUUUUAAUUGAUAUUCCUCAUUUUAUCUUACUUAAUUUAUUAAUUUAUAUAUCGUCGUCAUCAGAAAGUUUUUAAAAAAAAAUAAUUUUCUAAUUUAGUUAAUUUUAAGUAUGUCAGAUCAAGGUGUAGUUUAUAAUUAAGUUAAAAUGAGUUACAAUAAAAUUAUUUAAAUGAAUUUAAAAAUGAAAAAUUUAAGGAAAGUGGAUUUAUUAGUAAAAUUAUUUAGAAAAAUAAUUUGAUUUUAGUUUUAAAAUAUGUACAAAUCGCCCGUCACUCUCUGA